Molecule: long non-coding RNA, 934 nt
Organism: Pygocentrus nattereri (red-bellied piranha)
Lineage: Eukaryota; Metazoa; Chordata; Actinopteri; Characiformes; Serrasalmidae
Exons: 4
Source: RefSeq, a predicted model, not a curated record
AUGACGGAGUGGUUAAGAAAUAACAUCCGACCCCUUAACCAAGUAGAAGAAUACAUGAAGCAGACAGCCAUCCACAGAGCUAAGUGGAUAAGGGAGCAUGGGUCAAAGACAGUGGAGGAGGUCAAAAAAGAGCAUCCACGUCUUUUGGAUACUCCAGGAAUGAUUGCUCAGGACUUUGCCAUUCUACACCCAGCCUGUGCUGGGAAACUUGGAUAACUGGCAGAAAAGUGGAUGCCCGUUUUCAGAGACAGAAAUUUAUGGUUUGCUAGCCAGGAGAAGCAAGCUUCUGGAAUUCUUUCAAGACUGGAUUCUGUGUGUGCAGAUGCGCAAGGUGACAGGGCUGUGAGAUUAUUGCCAGUAGUCCUACCAGCUUCUGUCUAUAGGAUUCUGCCGGAAGACCUUCCGUCUGAGCUGUGAAGAGACAAGAAAGUCAUUCAUUGAUCUACAGCCUACGGAAAAAACCUGAGCUCGCUACGGAAAUUCCUGAGCGGUACCGUGUGACGUCACUGGUGGACAACAGUGAACAGCGCCGCAGUACAACAGCAUUAUGACUGACUGGGACUGAGGAUUUUCCAGCGCUGGUUCUUCAGAUUCUGAUGAUAAUUUGAAAGAGCUGUAAUGUAGAAAUAGACCACCUUAUCACUUAGUCCUGAGACUUUUAGUCAAACCACACCCACAAAAGCAGCUCAUCCUGAGUGUAAACAGUAUCAUGACAACAGCCUAGCAACCAGCUAAACUCAAAUAUAGAGGUACAGUUAUUGUCGUAAAAUUUGCUGGUUUGCUUACACCUCCAUAUUGUUGGAACAGCGCCAGUCUUAAGAUCCAGUUGAAAAAAGUCACAUUUUAUUAGCAGUCUACCUCAAUUUAACAGCAUUUUUAACUGUUUCUCACUAUGCUGAGGUUUUUAUUUUAUUAAUUUCUCAAGCAAAAGAAA